UGGUUUUAUAAAAAGUAAAUUGAGUCGGAAAUAAAUAUGUUUAAAAAGUAAUCAUUUGUUUAGUUUGUUAACUAACUAAGCUUGGCUCUGACUUGAUAAUAUAGCAGGAACAUAGUAAUACACAUGGUUUUUAUUGAAAGAGGUGAGGUAAGAAUAAAUAUUACUUAGAUAAAUUAUAUAAAUUAAUAUUAUUUCUUAGGGUAUUAUAAUUAUAGAAAAUGCUUUGAAAAGUCCCACUAACACCAGUGCUGAAGGUUAAUUAUAAAGGUGUAAGCCUGAAUUAACUUCGUACAUAAAAUCAGGUUAACUUGGUGCCAGCAUCCGCGGUUAUACCAAGUGAUUAAGUUAUAUAUGUAGGUAAAAAGACAGUUAAACAUAUAAAGAUUAGUUUAUUAAGCAUUUAUAUAAAAGUAAAAUUUGUAUAUAAAUAGUUAAUUUUGUAAUAACUACUAUGUUGAAGCUGUGAUAAUCUUGAGGGAAACUGGGAUUAGAUACCCCAUUAUUCUUGAUUGUAAAUAUAAUUAAAUUUACCAGAGUACUAAGAAUGUUUUAAAAAUUUAAAACUCAAAGGGCUUGGCGGUGUUUUAGACCUAUCAGGGGAACCUGUCUCGUAAUCGACAAUCCACGUUAUACCUAACCUUAUUUUGUAAUUCAGUUUGUAUACCGUCGUCGUCAGGUAACUUUUGAAAACAUAGAAGUUAGCGAUAAAAAUUUUGUAAAUUAAGACGUCAGAUCAAGGUGCAGCCUAUAAUAAGGAGAGGAUGGGUUACAAUUAUUAAAAUUAUAAUUACGGAAGUUUAAAUGAAAGUAUUUUCAGAAGGAGGACUUGAAAGUAAAAUUAAAAUAUCUAAAUAAAUUGAAUAAGGCUCUGAAACGUGCACACAUCGCCCGUCGCUCUCGUUGAAAAAUGAGAUAAGUCGUAACAUAGCAGGGGUAAUGGAAAUUGUCCCUAGAUG
This 956-nucleotide non-coding RNA is filed under the name Reticunassa festiva. Its description in RNAcentral is "Nassarius festivus 12S ribosomal RNA". The stretch from base 241 to 956 matches the Rfam family "Microsporidia small subunit ribosomal RNA". The record is from RNAcentral. Lineage: Eukaryota; Metazoa; Mollusca; Gastropoda; Neogastropoda; Nassariidae.